UAAGCGCAGGAAAAGAAACCAACAGGGAUUGCCUCAGUAACGGCGAGUGAAGCGGCAACAGCUCAAAUUUGAAAUCUGGCCUCUCGGGGUCCGAGUUGUAAUUUGUAGAGGAUGUUUCGGGUACCGCCUCGGUUUAAAUUUCUUGGAACAGAAUGUCAAAGAGGGUGAGAAUCCCGUCUUGGACCGGUGGUAGGGCCUAUGUGAAACUCCUUCGACGAGUCGAGUUGUUUGGGAAUGCAGCUCAAAAUGGGUGGUAAAUUUCAUCUAAAGCUAAAUAUUGGCCAGAGACCGAUAGCGCACAAGUAGAGUGAUCGAAAGAUGAAAAGCACUUUGAAAAGAGAGUUAAACAGUAUGUGAAAUUGUUGAAAGGGAAGCGCUUGCAACCAGACUUGAGCGCGGCGGUUCCCCCUUGCUUCUGCUUGGGUUACUCCGCCGUGUCCAGGCCAACAUCGGUUCUGGGGGUCGGUCAAAGGCUCUGGGAAUGUAUCUACCCACGGGUAGACUUAUAGACCAGGGUGUCAUGCGACCUCCCGGGACCGAGGAACGCGCUUCGGCUCGGAUGUUGGCGUAAUGGUUGUCAGCGACCCGUCUUGAAACACGGACCAAGGAGUCUAACAUCUAUGCGAGUGUUUGGGUGUCAAACCCGGAACGCGGAAUGAAAGUGAACGGAGGUAGGAAGCUUCGGCUGCACUAUCGACCGAUCCUGAAGUUUACGGAUGGAUUUGAGUAAGAGCAUAGCUGUUGGGACCCGAAAGAUGGUGAACUAUGCCUGAAUAGGGUGAAGCCAGAGGAAACUCUGGUGGAGGCUCGCAGCGGUUCUGACGUGCAAAUCGAUCGUCAAAUUUAGGUAUAGGGGCGAAAGACUAAUCGAACCAUCUGGUAGCUGGUUCCUGC
RNAcentral lists this ribosomal RNA (894 nucleotides) under Fonsecaea minima. Its description in RNAcentral is "LSU rRNA". It matches the Rfam family "Eukaryotic large subunit ribosomal RNA", at positions 47 to 961 of the family's 3401-position model. Lineage: Eukaryota; Fungi; Ascomycota; Eurotiomycetes; Chaetothyriales; Herpotrichiellaceae. The record is from RNAcentral.